Molecule: non-coding RNA, 94 nt
Organism: Mycena galopus ATCC 62051
Lineage: Eukaryota; Fungi; Basidiomycota; Agaricomycetes; Agaricales; Mycenaceae
Source: the annotation of a GenBank genome assembly
GCUCCAAUGGGUCAGUGGUAGACCGGCCUGUUUAUUUAUGAAGUCACUAGUUAAUAGUUGCGGGCAGAAGUGGGUUCGAAUCCCGCUUGGAGCG